AUACGUAGGGUGCGAGCGUUAAUCGGAAUUACUGGGCGUAAAGCGUGCGCAGGUGGUUUUGUAAGUCAGAUGUGAAAUCCCCGGGCUUAACCUGGGAACUGCGUUUGAAACUGCAAGGCUAGAGUGUGGCAGAGGGGGGUGGAAUUCCGCGUGUAGCAGCGAAAUGCGUAGAGAUGUGGAGGAACACCGAUGGCGAAGGCAGCCCCCUGGGACGAGACUGACGCUCAUGCACGAAAGCGUGGGGAGCAAACAGGAUUAGAAACCCCAGUAGUCC
RNAcentral lists this ribosomal RNA (274 nucleotides) under uncultured bacterium. RNAcentral's name for it is "partial 16S ribosomal RNA". It matches the Rfam family "Bacterial small subunit ribosomal RNA", at positions 523 to 796 of the family's 1533-position model. The record is from RNAcentral.